This is a long non-coding RNA of Morus notabilis, 383 nucleotides long. RefSeq lists it as uncharacterized. The record is from RefSeq and is a predicted model, not a curated record. Lineage: Eukaryota; Viridiplantae; Streptophyta; Magnoliopsida; Rosales; Moraceae. The transcript is spliced from 4 exons.
UUCUCAAUCAAGGCAAUACUUUCCAUAAAGAAGGGUGCAUAUCUUUUGAAAUGUGGAAGAAGAGGGAAGCCCAAGUUUUGUCCUUUCCGGCUUUCUACGAUAUGCAAGGACAAAGAGCAAGCUGAUUCUUGGAUUCUAGGAUUUGAGAGUCAUAAUAUCAAGGUGUCACCAUCCUAGACCAUUUAAUAGCUUGAGAGGUCACAAAGGAGUACAAAGUUGUAUUAGUAGUCCCGCUGGUCUUAUUCAGAGAAAGCAUAAUCUUGGACUUUUGGAGGAUGCCACUGAAUUUUCCGAGUCUAGGAUAAUGCUUCAUAAGGAGACGAUGAGGGCCAUUACACAUUUCUGAGCCUACUAUGCGCGGAAUUGAACAAGGGGGGUAUGUC